CUUCUCUUCGGUGCCAAGCUGCACAAUGCUGGUCUCUCUCUCUCUCUCUCUCUCUGCAAUCUUGCACGCUCUUGCAUACUCGUACUCCCGCACUACUCUAUAUCGACAUUAUCUCUGGCUCACUCUCUCUGUCUAGGUUUUCAGAUCCCCUGAGUUUCUAGAGAGAGAACUUUUCAGCUGAUUCAAAAAAGCAGAUUCAGAUCCUCCACUUUCGAACCAGAUAAUAAGUCGGAUCCGAUCCGCCCUC
RNAcentral lists this unclassified non-coding RNA (247 nucleotides) under Hevea brasiliensis (rubber tree). Lineage: Eukaryota; Viridiplantae; Streptophyta; Magnoliopsida; Malpighiales; Euphorbiaceae. The record is from RNAcentral.